Chelonoidis abingdonii (Abingdon island giant tortoise) is the source of this 555-nucleotide non-coding RNA. NCBI's taxonomy places the organism in Eukaryota, Metazoa, Chordata, Testudines, Testudinidae. The record is from RefSeq and is a predicted model, not a curated record.
GGUUGUUUAUUUUUUAAAAAGAAUCUCCAGACCAUUUUUCAUCUGAUCAAUAAACCAGAUCGCUGCUGUUUACACAAAUGCAGAUACAGAAACAUUACACUAAACCCACCUUCAAUGGGUGCUGUCCGGUUGGCAAUUAGCCUGAUUUGCAAUCACUGACAUUAAAGAAUGCACACGUUAAACCAGAUUUUUUAUAUCUUUCAGAACACCUGGAAGGAAUCUGAGCUAACCAAACCAAGCACCGUGAGGUGUGACUACUAUAUCUAAUAUAUUGCAUUUUGAAUCUUGACAUUAAGUGACAGUGGUUAGGAUCACUUAGUAACUACAAUGUGAGAGGCAGAUACAGCUGAGUUCUUGAACUGAGUCAGCUUCUGCUAGCCAGUGCCAGAGACAAGUUACUGGACUAGAUGGACCUCAUUUCUGACCCAGUUGGGUAGAUAAAAAGGAGCAAAUUCACAUGGAGCUCAUGCCAUUUAAGGAUUCAAACACAGAGAUAACUGUACCCUCACCCUUGUGAAAACCUUGCCCUAAAGCUUCUAAGAGGUACUUAGGUUU